GUGCUUGCUUCCGCAGCACAGACACUAAAGUUGGAAUGAUACAGAGAAGAUUAGCAUAGCCCCUGCUCAAGGAUGAACCGCAAAUUCAUGAAGCAUUCCAUAUAUUU
Molecule: small nuclear RNA, 107 nt
Organism: Peromyscus maniculatus bairdii (prairie deer mouse)
Lineage: Eukaryota; Metazoa; Chordata; Mammalia; Rodentia; Cricetidae
Source: Ensembl